UUUUAUGGAGAGUUUGAUCCUGGCUCAGGAUGAACGCUGGCGGCGUGCCUAAUACAUGCAAGUCGAGCGAACGGACGAGAAGCUUGCUUCUCUGAUGUUAGCGGCGGACGGGUGAGUAACACGUGGAUAACCUACCUAUAAGACUGGGAUAACUUCGGGAAACCGGAGCUAAUACCGGAUAAUAUUUUGAACCGCAUGGUUCAAAAGUGAAAGACGGUCUUGCUGUCACUUAUAGAUGGAUCCGCGCUGCAUUAGCUAGUUGGUAAGGUAACGGCUUACCAAGGCAACGAUGCAUAGCCGACCUGAGAGGGUGAUCGGCCACACUGGAACUGAGACACGGUCCAGACUCCUACGGGAGGCAGCAGUAGGGAAUCUUCCGCAAUGGGCGAAAGCCUGACGGAGCAACGCCGCGUGAGUGAUGAAGGUCUUCGGAUCGUAAAACUCUGUUAUUAGGGAAGAACAUAUGUGUAAGUAACUGUGCACAUCUUGACGGUACCUAAUCAGAAAGCCACGGCUAACUACGUGCCAGCAGCCGCGGUAAUACGUAGGUGGCAAGCGUUAUCCGGAAUUAUUGGGCGUAAAGCGCGCGUAGGCGGUUUUUUAAGUCUGAUGUGAAAGCCCACGGCUCAACCGUGGAGGGUCAUUGGAAACUGGAAAACUUGAGUGCAGAAGAGGAAAGUGGAAUUCCAUGUGUAGCGGUGAAAUGCGCAGAGAUAUGGAGGAACACCAGUGGCGAAGGCGACUUUCUGGUCUGUAACUGACGCUGAUGUGCGAAAGCGUGGGGAUCAAACAGGAUUAGAUACCCUGGUAGUCCACGCCGUAAACGAUGAGUGCUAAGUGUUAGGGGGUUUCCGCCCCUUAGUGCUGCAGCUAACGCAUUAAGCACUCCGCCUGGGGAGUACGACCGCAAGGUUGAAACUCAAAGGAAUUGACGGGGACCCGCACAAGCGGUGGAGCAUGUGGUUUAAUUCGAAGCAACGCGAAGAACCUUACCAAAUCUUGACAUCCUUUGACAACUCUAGAGAUAGAGCCUUCCCCUUCGGGGGACAAAGUGACAGGUGGUGCAUGGUUGUCGUCAGCUCGUGUCGUGAGAUGUUGGGUUAAGUCCCGCAACGAGCGCAACCCUUAAGCUUAGUUGCCAUCAUUAAGUUGGGCACUCUAAGUUGACUGCCGGUGACAAACCGGAGGAAGGUGGGGAUGACGUCAAAUCAUCAUGCCCCUUAUGAUUUGGGCUACACACGUGCUACAAUGGACAAUACAAAGGGCAGCGAAACCGCGAGGUCAAGCAAAUCCCAUAAAGUUGUUCUCAGUUCGGAUUGUAGUCUGCAACUCGACUACAUGAAGCUGGAAUCGCUAGUAAUCGUAGAUCAGCAUGCUACGGUGAAUACGUUCCCGGGUCUUGUACACACCGCCCGUCACACCACGAGAGUUUGUAACACCCGAAGCCGGUGGAGUAACCUUUUAGGAGCUAGCCGUCGAAGGUGGGACAAAUGAU
Molecule: ribosomal RNA, 1495 nt
Filed under: Staphylococcus aureus
Lineage: Bacteria; Bacillati; Bacillota; Bacilli; Caryophanales; Staphylococcaceae
Description: partial 16S ribosomal RNA
Rfam family: Bacterial small subunit ribosomal RNA
Source: RNAcentral